ACGAACGCUGGCGGCGUGCUUAACACCUUCAAGUCGAACGGAAAGGCCCUGCUUUUGUGGGGUGCUCGAGUGGCGAACGGGUGAGUAACACGUGAGUAACCUGCCCUUGACUUUGGGAUAACUUCAGGAAACUGGGGCUAAUACCGGAUAGGAUCUCCUGCUGCAUGGUGGGGGUUGGAAAGUUUCGGCGGUUGGGGAUGGACUCGCGGCUUAUCAGCUUGUUGGUGGGGUAGUGGCUUACCAAGGCAUUGACGGGUAGCCGGCCUGAGAGGGUGACCGGCCACAUUGGGACUGAGAUACGGACCAGACUCCUACGGGAGGCAGCAGUGGGGAAUAUUGCACAAUGGGCGGAAGCCUGAUGCAGCAACGCCGCGUGCGGGAUGACGGCCUUCGGGUUGUAAACCGCUUUCGCCUGUGACGAAGCGUGAGUGACGGUAAUGGGUAAAGAAGCACCGGCUAACUACGUG
Molecule: ribosomal RNA, 467 nt
Filed under: uncultured bacterium
Lineage: Bacteria
Description: partial 16S ribosomal RNA
Rfam family: Bacterial small subunit ribosomal RNA
Source: RNAcentral